This is a long non-coding RNA of Daphnia magna, 1498 nucleotides long. RefSeq lists it as uncharacterized. NCBI's taxonomy places the organism in Eukaryota, Metazoa, Arthropoda, Branchiopoda, Diplostraca, Daphniidae. The record is from RefSeq and is a predicted model, not a curated record. The transcript has 2 exons.
UCCUGAGCAGAAAUUAAAAAUUUAUCAGUUAUUAAAGACCACAAAAUCUUGGAAAUUUUAACUGGAUAAAAUGAGAGUAAAAAAAAUCAUUAGGUUUGCACAUUAAUAGUAAAAAUAUGUAGAUGAAAGACGAUAAAACUCACUAGGCGAUUGACCGUCAGAAACGAAAUGAACGAAUACUGCAGCCGCUGCUGCGAGGCGAAAACUCCUACGAUCAUUGCCCCCUUGUGGCACUUUUGCACACCAAAACCAGAUCCGAUAGUGGGUGCGAAAGGGGUUUACUAUUUUAUGUCAGAUUCAAAUAGUAGACCCUAGUGUAUUGUAUAAUUGUUCUCAGAAAAGGUAAAUAAUUUAAGCUAGUUGCUGGGUUAUUGCCUGUGUGAAAUAUUGAUGAAUAUUGCAUAUGAAAAAGCUUUGAUGAAGUUUCUAGAGUAGCACGCAUUGGAAUGGAUAUUAUUUAGUAGCGUGUGGAAAUGAAAUAGUCUACAUUUAGUUCUUAGAAAUUUAUUGUAUUAUAUCAAUUGUUUUAAUUUAAGCAUGAAUCUUGAAAACUGUAUGAUUGACAAUAGGAAUAGGAUUCAAAAGAAAAUGUUUCAUGUCAAAUUACUAGCAAAAUGCAGUAAACAUUGUCAAUCCUCCUGAAGAAGAGUUUCAUUCUCUGUUUUAUAAGAAUGGCCUUGGUUAGCGAUGUUGGCUGGUAAAAUGUCCUACAUUGAUGACAUAUCACCACAGAGGCAAGGCAAGAAUUGUAUCAGCAAUCAAAUCUCCAAACUUGGCCCUAUGUAUUCAUUUGGAAACAAUGGUCAAUUUUUACAGGAGGAAAUUGGCAAAAUUUCGCCGGUUGCCCUCCAGAACUGUAAGGACUUCAUUAAGACGAAUUCUUUGAUUACUUGCAUGGGAAAUGAAGGGUAUGACACGAACUUAACUGUCUUACGUAUCGGAUGUCGCUGAAGAGUUGGCUCAUCGGGAACUCAGAUCAUUAACCUUGCUUGGCAGGUUAACACGACUGAUUUCUCAUCACCACCAAAGCCCGCAAAAUUUGAUAAACUCCACUGGCCUAAGUGGUUUUGCCACCAACGAAAUCGAAUUGAAACAUCUCGUUAAAAUCUGGUUUACUUUCAUAAACCGAUUCCUAAGACAAACUGUCGAUUUGGGAAAUUUUGCUGCCAGUAAAAAAUUUUUUUUUCUUUUCUUUUCUUUCUUUCUUUCUUUUCUUUCUUUCUUUUCUUUAUUUCUUUUCUGUAUUUCUUUUCUUUUUUUACAGGUGGCAAUAUUCAUUACUUCAGCCAAUUGCCAUUAUAUUAUUCUCAUUUUCGUCUUCGUUACCGGUGGUGUCUGUUUUACAAGAAUGUAAAAUGUUUUUUUGAGGUGGUUUAACAAUUGGAGCUUAAAUCAUGUUAAUGUUGCAUUACUCGUUCCUCAACGAAGUAACCAACAAGAAAGAAUUAAAUUUGACAUGGAUGGCUGUGCGUGUAUCGGCCAACGUAUUCAACCUAAA